AGCUUUGCACAGUGGCAGUAUCGUAGCUAAUGAGGUUUAUCCGAGGCACAAUUAUUGCUAAUUAAAAACCAGGAUCCAACUACGACUUUCUUUGACUGUUUCCUCCUUAUUUAUUUUUCCAGAAAACUCUUUAGUG
Molecule: small nuclear RNA, 136 nt
Filed under: Cervus hanglu yarkandensis (Yarkand deer)
Lineage: Eukaryota; Metazoa; Chordata; Mammalia; Artiodactyla; Cervidae
Description: U4 spliceosomal RNA (ENSCHYG00000025612.1)
Rfam family: U4 spliceosomal RNA
About the family: U4 small nuclear RNA (U4 snRNA) is a component of the major U2-dependent spliceosome. The structure of U4 snRNA from yeast and human has been reported.
Source: RNAcentral